Molecule: ribosomal RNA, 492 nt
Filed under: uncultured bacterium
Lineage: Bacteria
Description: partial 16S ribosomal RNA
Rfam family: Bacterial small subunit ribosomal RNA
Source: RNAcentral
AGUGAACGCUGGCGGUAGGCCUAACACAUGCAAGUCGAACGGCAGCACAGUAAGAGCUUGCUCUUACGGGUGGCGAGUGGCGGACGGGUGAGGAAUACAUCGGAAUCUACUUUUUCGUGGGGGAUAACGUAGGGAAACUUACGCUAAUACCGCAUACUACCUACGGGUGAAAGCAGGGGAUCUUCGGACCUUGCGCGAUUGAAUGAGCCGAUGUCGGAUUAGCUAGUUGGCGUGGUAAAGGCCCACCAAGGCGACGAUCCGUAGCUGGUCUGAGAGGAUGAUCAGCCACACUGGAACUGAGACACGGUCCAGACUCCUACGGGAGGCAGCAGUGGGGAAUAUUGGACAAAGGGCGCAAGCCUGAUCCAGCCAUACCGCGUGGGUGAAGAAGGCCUUCGGGUUGUAAAGCCCUUUUGUUGGGAAAGAAAAGCAGCAGGUUAAUACCCCGCUGUUCUGACGGUACCCAAAGAAUAAGCACCGGCUAACUUCGUG